This 24-nucleotide transfer RNA is filed under the name Brotherella erythrocaulis. RNAcentral describes it as "partial tRNA-Leu". Lineage: Eukaryota; Viridiplantae; Streptophyta; Bryopsida; Hypnales; Pylaisiadelphaceae. The record is from RNAcentral.
GCCCCCAUGGUGAAAUUGGUAGAC